Molecule: ribosomal RNA, 1406 nt
Filed under: Lacticaseibacillus rhamnosus
Lineage: Bacteria; Bacillati; Bacillota; Bacilli; Lactobacillales; Lactobacillaceae
Description: bacterial SSU rRNA
Rfam family: Bacterial small subunit ribosomal RNA
Source: RNAcentral
GAGUUCUGAUUAUUGAAAGGUGCUUGCAUCUUGAUUUAAUUUUGAACGAGUGGCGGACGGGUGAGUAACACGUGGGUAACCUGCCCUUAAGUGGGGGAUAACAUUUGGAAACAGAUGCUAAUACCGCAUAAAUCCAAGAACCGCAUGGUUCUUGGCUGAAAGAUGGCGUAAGCUAUCGCUUUUGGAUGGACCCGCGGCGUAUUAGCUAGUUGGUGAGGUAACGGCUCACCAAGGCAAUGAUACGUAGCCGAACUGAGAGGUUGAUCGGCCACAUUGGGACUGAGACACGGCCCAAACUCCUACGGGAGGCAGCAGUAGGGAAUCUUCCACAAUGGACGCAAGUCUGAUGGAGCAACGCCGCGUGAGUGAAGAAGGCUUUCGGGUCGUAAAACUCUGUUGUUGGAGAAGAAUGGUCGGCAGAGUAACUGUUGUCGGCGUGACGGUAUCCAACCAGAAAGCCACGGCUAACUACGUGCCAGCAGCCGCGGUAAUACGUAGGUGGCAAGCGUUAUCCGGAUUUAUUGGGCGUAAAGCGAGCGCAGGCGGUUUUUUAAGUCUGAUGUGAAAGCCCUCGGCUUAACCGAGGAAGUGCAUCGGAAACUGGGAAACUUGAGUGCAGAAGAGGACAGUGGAACUCCAUGUGUAGCGGUGAAAUGCGUAGAUAUAUGGAAGAACACCAGUGGCGAAGGCGGCUGUCUGGUCUGUAACUGACGCUGAGGCUCGAAAGCAUGGGUAGCGAACAGGAUUAGAUACCCUGGUAGUCCAUGCCGUAAACGAUGAAUGCUAGGUGUUGGAGGGUUUCCGCCCUUCAGUGCCGCAGCUAACGCAUUAAGCAUUCCGCCUGGGGAGUACGACCGCAAGGUUGAAACUCAAAGGAAUUGACGGGGGCCCGCACAAGCGGUGGAGCAUGUGGUUUAAUUCGAAGCAACGCGAAGAACCUUACCAGGUCUUGACAUCUUUUGAUCACCUGAGAGAUCAGGUUUCCCCUUCGGGGGCAAAAUGACAGGUGGUGCAUGGUUGUCGUCAGCUCGUGUCGUGAGAUGUUGGGUUAAGUCCCGCAACGAGCGCAACCCUUAUGACUAGUUGCCAGCAUUUAGUUGGGCACUCUAGUAAGACUGCCGGUGACAAACCGGAGGAAGGUGGGGAUGACGUCAAAUCAUCAUGCCCCUUAUGACCUGGGCUACACACGUGCUACAAUGGAUGGUACAACGAGUUGCGAGACCGCGAGGUCAAGCUAAUCUCUUAAAGCCAUUCUCAGUUCGGACUGUAGGCUGCAACUCGCCUACACGAAGUCGGAAUCGCUAGUAAUCGCGGAUCAGCACGCCGCGGUGAAUACGUUCCCGGGCCUUGUACACACCGCCCGUCACACCAUGAGAGUUUGUAACACCCGAAGCCGGUGGCGUAAC